RNAcentral lists this long non-coding RNA (3461 nucleotides) under Homo sapiens (human). RNAcentral's name for it is "non-protein coding lnc-SLC25A11-1:1". The record is from RNAcentral. Lineage: Eukaryota; Metazoa; Chordata; Mammalia; Primates; Hominidae.
GGGAGGCUGAGGCAGGAGAAUCGCUUGAAACCGGGAGGUGGAAAGAGGUUGCGGUGAGCCGAGAUCGUGCCAUUGUACUCCAGCCUGGGUGACAAGAGCAAAACUCCAUCUUAAAAACAAAAAAACCUCUCCAGAUGCCCGCUUCUCUUCCUCUUCACAGCUGCAUUCUGAGAGUUGCCUACUUUUAAUUCUCUCCCACCUUUCUCUCUGCCUUCUCACCCCAGUCUAUGCUGAUUUCUUUCCCCUGCUACUCCAUUGACUCGGUUCUUACCAAGGUCUUUAAUGCUCUCCCUCCUCUACAUCCAUGGGAAACUUCUCCACUGUGAUCUUACUUUAUUUCGGCAGCCUGCAUACCCAUGGCCACUCGCCCCUUGGGAUUCUCCUUUUGGCCUCUGUGACACAUGACCCUGUAAUUUUCUUGGUUUUCUUCUUACCUGUUUGGUUGGGCCUUCUCAGUCUCCUUCAUAGAUUCCCCUUCUUGAACAAUUAAACUGCCCCCAGAGUUUGUGCUUAGGCUGUCUUCAUUCCCAGCUAAUUUUUAUAUUUUUAGUAGAGACGGGGUUUCACCAUGUUGGUCAGCCUGGUCUCGAACUCCUCAUCUCAAGUGAUCCACCCACAUUGGCUUCCCGAAGUGCUGGGAUUAGAGGCAUGAGCCACCGCGCCCGGCAUUCUCUUCUUUUCUUACGCUAUGCAACCACCUGAGAUUAUCCUCAUCCAUUCCCUUGCCUUCAACCACCACCUACAACCUAAUGACUCUCAAAUCUAUGUCUCUAGUCCAGACCCUUCUCCUGAGACACAAGCACAUAUGUCCAGCUGCCUUCUGGACAUCUCUACUUGGAUGUCCCACAGACACCAAAACAAUAUGUUCAAAGCUGAACUCACCAUCUCUCUCCAAAUGGCUUCUCCUCCUGUGUUGCUCAGCCUGGUGAGUGGCACCAUCAUCCACUCAUUUACCUAACCAUUCAGUCAACACAAACAAAAUCCCUAAUAGUCAUCUCUAACGUCUCCCGUCUUUCAUCCCCAUCACCAAGUCCUGGUGAUUUUAUCUCCCGUCUCUCUCAAAUCUACUCUCCAUCCACACCAUCCUGCCAGCAUUCCUAGUCCAAGGUUGUUGUUGUUUCUUGUUCAUAUCCUCCUCCUCCUCUUCUUCUUCCUCCUCUUCCUCCUUUCUUCUUCUUCUUCUUUUUUUUUUUUUUUUUUUUUGAGAUGGAGUCUUGCCCUGUCUCCCAGGCUGGAGUGCAAUGGCUCCAUCUCGGCUCACUGCCACCUCUGCCUCCUGGGUUCAAGCAAUUCUCCUGCCUCAGCCUCCUGAGUAGCUGGGAUUACAGGCACCCGCCAUCAUGCCCGGCUAAUUUUUCAUAUCUUUAGUAGAGACGGGGUUUUACCAUGUUGUCCAGGCUGGUCUCCUUUGCUCUGUCUCCCAGGCUGGAGUGCAGUGGCGCAAUCAUGCCUCACUCAAGGACAAACUCCUGGACCCAAGGGAUCCUCCUGCUUCAGCCUCCCAAGGAGUUGGGACUACAGGCAUGCACCACCACACCUGGCUGAUUUAAAAAUUUUUUUCUAGAGACAGAAAAACAUUUGUUUGUUGCCUAGGCUGGUCUCAAACUCCUGGGCUCAAGCGAUCCUCCCACCUCGGCCUCCCAAAGUGCUAGGAGUACAGGCGUGAGCCACCAUGCCCUGCCCAGGGCACCAUCUUCUCGCUACUGCUUCCCUGCAACAGCCUCCUUGCUGGUCUCCCAACUUCCCAAUUCCCUUUCUUCUCUUUAUUCUCCACUGGAGUGGUCUUUCAGAACUGCACAUUUGCUCAUAUCCUUCCACUGCUUGAAAUCCACCAAUGGGCCAGGCACAGUGGCUCACACCUGUAAUCCUAGCAGUUUGGGAGGCCGAGGCGGGUGGAUCACCUGAGGUCAGGGGUUUGAGACCAGCCUGGCCAACAUGGUGAAAACCCAUCUCUACUAAAUAUACAAAAAAUUAGCCAGACGUGGUGGCCGGCACCUGUAAUCCCAGCUACUAGGGAGGCUGAGGCAGGAGAACAGCUUGAGCCCCAGGGGGCAUAGGUUGCAGUGAGCUGAGAUCACACCCCCUCACUCCAGCCUGGGCGAAAGAGCGAAAUUCUGUCUCUAAAUAAAUAAAUAAAUUCACCAAUGGCUCCUCAUAGAUCUCAGGAGAAAGUCUAAAGUUCCCAACAUGGCCUGCAGGGUCCUGCAAGGUCUCCCCUUUGCCUGCCUGUCCAGCCCCAUCUGUUCCCACUCUGCCCUUACUCUUGAUCAUUCUCUCCUGUGCCUGAACUUUUUCUUCAACCCUUAUCCCCUUCUGCCUAACUUUUACUUAUUUGGCAAGUUCCAGCUCAGAAUUCCUUCCUCUGGAAAGCCUUUUCUGACUUCCGAAGACCAGGUUAAAUGUCUAUUACAGAAAGUCAGACACCAUGCCCUGCCUGUUGGUCCACUGCCCCUUCUGUGAUGAGAAUGUGGCCCUGCACUGUUCCCCAGUAGGAGCUCCAUGCAGCCGCCUGAGCCUGCCCCUAUCUGCUUCCAGCUGGUGACCGGACAAGGGAUAGACACUUAAGCCAGAUGCAGUUAAUCCAUAGAUUUGCCAUUUAUAUAAUUUGCCCGCUGCAAAGGUAUUGGAAAAUGUGGGGAAGACGAGGUAGUAUAGAAAGUGAGGUGGGAGUUUGUCUGGAGAGAAGCCAUGAAAUUGAAUAAGGACCCCGAGCCCAGAGGCUGUUGAUUUUUUUUUUUCUUUUUGACCCUCACCCAGGCUGGAGCGCGGCGGCGCCAUCUCCGCUCACUGCAACCUGCUCAUGCGAUCCUCCCGCCUCAGCCUCCCGAGCAGCUGGGAUCACAGGUGCACACCACCACGCCGGGCUAAUUUUCGUAUUUUUAGUAGAGAGGGCAUUUCACCAUGUUGGCCAGGAUGGUCUUGAUCUCUUUUUUCGCUCUUGUUGCCCAGGCUGGAGUUCAAUGGAGUGAUCUCGGCUCAUGGCGACCUCCGCCUCCUGGGUUCAUGUGAUUCUCCUGCCUCAGCCUCCCAAGUAGCUGGGAUUACAGGCAUACACCACCACGCCCAACUAAUUUUGUAUUUUUAGUGGAGACUGGAUUUCUCCAUGUUGAUCAGGCUGGUCUUGAUCUUCCGACCUCAGGUGAUCAGCCUGCUUCGACCUCCCAAAGUGCUGGGAUUACCGGCAUGAGCCACUGCGUCCAGCCUGCUCAUAUUUUAUUUAGGACUUUUGCCUCUAAGUUAGAAAAUAGGAGUGGCUUAUAGAUCUCUUUUGGGGAUCUUUGUCUGUUUUUCUGUUUGUUUGGUUUUAUGAUCAGAGUUUAUGCUAGCCUUGUAAAAUAAAUUGGAAAACUAUAUUCUCUGGAACAGUUAUAGAUAGGGAUUUUCUGUUCUACAUAGAUUGGUGGAGUUCACCUAUAAACCCAUCUGGAGGCUGGGCACGGUGGCUCACGCCUGUAAUCCCA